This 282-nucleotide unclassified non-coding RNA is filed under the name Hevea brasiliensis (rubber tree). Lineage: Eukaryota; Viridiplantae; Streptophyta; Magnoliopsida; Malpighiales; Euphorbiaceae. The record is from RNAcentral.
AAUGGCUGAUAAUGGUCGUGGAGCUUAUCCUGUACAUUCGGAAGUUGGUUCUGUUGGUGUUCCUACGGAUGAUUCCAGGCCUAUGGGACAGUUAAGCUUAUCAGUUCUGGAGAAUGGUAAAGCGGUGCAUGAUUUCAUGGAAAGGGAGAAGAGGACACCGAAAGCAAACCAGUUUUAUAGAAAUUCUGAAUUCUUGCUUGCAAAAGAUAGGAUUCCUCCAGCUGAGAGCAAUAAGAAGUCCAAAUUAAAUGGGAAAAAGCGUAGUAGACGAAAAUUUAAUCA